Molecule: unclassified non-coding RNA, 355 nt
Filed under: soil metagenome
Description: partial contains 5.8S ribosomal RNA, internal transcribed spacer 2, and large subunit ribosomal RNA
Rfam family: 5.8S ribosomal RNA (bases 1-120)
Source: RNAcentral
GAUGAAGAACGCAGCGAAAUGCGAUAAGUAAUGUGAAUUGCAGAAUUCAGUGAAUCAUCGAAUCUUUGAACGCACAUUGCGCCCGCCAGUAUUCUGGCGGGCAUGCCUGUCCGAGCGUCAUUUCAACCCUCGAACCCCUCCGGGGGGUCGGCGUUGGGGAUCGGGAACCCCUAAGACGGGAUCCCGGCCCCGAAAUACAGUGGCGGUCUCGCCGCAGCCUCUCCUGCGCAGUAGUUUGCACAACUCGCACCGGGAGCGCGGCGCGUCCACGUCCGUAAAACACCCAACUUCUGAAAUGUUGACCUCGGAUCAGGUAGGAAUACCCGCUGAACUUAAGCAUAUCAAUAACGGAGGA